This 707-nucleotide long non-coding RNA is filed under the name Lepisosteus oculatus (spotted gar). Its description in RNAcentral is "lncRNA (ENSLOCG00000021771.1)". Lineage: Eukaryota; Metazoa; Chordata; Actinopteri; Semionotiformes; Lepisosteidae. The record is from RNAcentral.
AUGCCAAUCGCCACUGCCUCGCAGCCCGCACAGGAACCUUGUCUCUACUCCCGCUUGCACCCGAUUUCCGACGCCGUCCCCAAGCAGGGCCAUGUCUGUGAGGACAGGGGGGCGCGAUCGCAGGACCAGGCCCAGCUCGGGGGGAGUGGGGGAGCGGAGGGGGGCAGGGGAUCUGGGAGCCACAGCGGCAGCGGCGGCGGCGGCAGGCUGCUAGCGGCCGGGCCCACCUCUCCCUCUCAGUCCCCUCCUACUCCCUCCUCCUUCGCCCCCUCCUAUCACCACCACCACCCCCCUCACAUGGAGCCCCCAAGGACCCGAUCGCGGUCCCGGUCCGGGCUCUACCAGUACAGCAUGAACAAUCACCAAGGUGGCAGCAACGCCAGUUACGCUAAUAACAGUAGCAGCAGCAGCAGCAGUAGCAGUGGUAGCGGCGGCGGCGGCGGCGGAGUCAACCACUUUCAGCAGCACAACUCCGGGUGCGUGGCGCUCGGAGCCCACAGCCCCUCCGAGAACCACCGUACCCCAGGGGGUAACCCGAUCACCACCACCCCGAGAGCCGCGGGGCCCGGAGCCGGCAGAGCGCCGGCCGCAGGUGGAAUUGUUGCUCAACCUGCCCACCAAGAGCAUGCCUGCACUGAAGAAGGCGACAAGGUAAGACAGCAAAACUAAAGUUUUGAUAAGCAAUUUAAAAGUGGAAAUGGCUUGAU